This 318-nucleotide unclassified non-coding RNA is filed under the name plant metagenome. Its description in RNAcentral is "partial contains 5.8S ribosomal RNA, internal transcribed spacer 2, and large subunit ribosomal RNA". The stretch from base 1 to 105 matches the Rfam family "5.8S ribosomal RNA", at positions 50 to 154 of the family's 154-position model. The record is from RNAcentral.
GAAAUGCGAUAACUAGUGUGAAUUGCAGAAUUCCGUGAAUCAUCGAGUCUUUGAACGCACAUUGCGCCCCCUGGUAUUCCGGGGGGCAUGCCUGUCCGAGCGUCAUUGCUGCCCAUCAAGCACGGCUUGUGUGUUGGGUCGUCGUCCCCUCUUCGGGGGGGACGGGCCCCAAAGGCAGCGGCGGCACCGCGUCCGAUCCUCGAGCGUAUGGGGCUUUGUCACCCGCUCUGUAGGCCCGGCCGGCGCUUGCCGAACGCAAAACAACCAUUCUUUCCAGGUUGACCUCGGAUCAGGUAGGGAUACCCGCUGAACUUAAGC